This 294-nucleotide long non-coding RNA is filed under the name Solanum tuberosum (potato). Its description in RNAcentral is "long non-coding RNA (STUB_LNC006845)". The record is from RNAcentral. Lineage: Eukaryota; Viridiplantae; Streptophyta; Magnoliopsida; Solanales; Solanaceae.
CACCAUUUUCGUUGCGUAAGAAACAAUAUACACUCCAUUUUCAUAAAAGUCACGUAGAUUACAUGUAAUAGGCUAUAGCUAUUACCAGCUAUAAGUUUCCAACUCUCCCACAGGUUAACAAAAACCGCGUAAAAAUUAAAAUGUAGGUUCUGAAUAAAAACCUCAAAUUACGUAGCCUUACCAUCCAUCUAGAUAUUAUAUGGAAGCCAUAACGCUGUAAUCAACAUCGUUUAAUUAACUUGUAAUGGAAUUUAAUCACCCUGCAAAAUUAGAGCUCUACAAGCAGGUCAUAAU